Bufo gargarizans (Asiatic toad) is the source of this 527-nucleotide long non-coding RNA. RefSeq lists it as uncharacterized. The transcript has 4 exons. NCBI's taxonomy places the organism in Eukaryota, Metazoa, Chordata, Amphibia, Anura, Bufonidae. The record is from RefSeq and is a predicted model, not a curated record.
UUUCUAGACUGACUUCAAUAUCUUCAGUGACGUCAAGGAGCGAUGAUGACUCCCUGGGAUCGCAGGGAGCCAGAAGAUAUCCACGACGCUUCAUGAAACGGAAGAAUGAUGAGCAUCAGACCCCAGCGGGAAAGAGACGCCCGGACUUAACCCCAAAUACUAAACAGUAAAGGACGUGCAUUUAUUUGCGCGGAAACUGAUUUUUAAGAAAAUAUUUAAACAGAGAGAGGACCCCAAUUUCCCAUCAUGGAUGAAACAGGAGGCUUUAUUAUUACUUGUUGAGCUACUUGAUGAGCAGGAAGCAGAUAACCAAAUGGAUACGACUGAUGUACUUUGGAAAGUCGAGGGUCUGCAUCUAGAAUCGGAUAUGUUGCUGGCCACCUGUGAUGUGGAGUCACUGUAUACUUCCAUCAAACACGAAGACGGAUUACAAGCGACCGACUUUUAUCUACGGACUUCCAAUAUACCUACAAAAAAAUCAUCUCUUUCUCUCGUUUUUUGAACCAGGAUCAUCACAGAACCACCAG